UACGUAGGGGGCAAGCGUUGUCCGGAUUCAUUGGGCGUAAAGAGCGUGUAGGCGGCCAGGUAGGUCGGUUGUGAAAACUGGAGGCUCAACCUUCAGAGGUCGACCGAAACCAUCUGGCUAGAGUCCGGGAGAGGAGAGUGGAAUUCCUGGUGUAGCGGUGAAAUGCGCAGAUAUCAGGAAGAACACCCGUGGCGAAAGCGGCUCUCUGGAACGGUACUGACGCUGAGACGCGAAAGCGUGGGGAGCAAACGGG
This 253-nucleotide ribosomal RNA is filed under the name uncultured bacterium. RNAcentral describes it as "partial 16S ribosomal RNA". It matches the Rfam family "Bacterial small subunit ribosomal RNA", at positions 524 to 776 of the family's 1533-position model. The record is from RNAcentral.